Molecule: non-coding RNA, 89 nt
Filed under: Pseudomonas antarctica
Lineage: Bacteria; Pseudomonadati; Pseudomonadota; Gammaproteobacteria; Pseudomonadales; Pseudomonadaceae
Source: RNAcentral
UGUUGCGGUGGCUGUACGCGGGAUACCUUCGGGUAUGCCGGAUUUCCUUUGAUUGCCGGUCGGUCAACCCGCGUACAGCUGCCUCCCUC